UUUAAGCGGUGGAGCCCGGGAAUAGAACCCAGGUCCUCCGCCUCCCGGGCCCCGUGUUCUUUCCACCAGGCCACCCGGCUUCCCUGCCGUUUUAGUCGUCAGUGAUUUCUCCUCGAUGCGGAGAUUAAGGGGCAACCGUUGGAGGCCUUUGAGGAGCGGAGAGAUGCAGAGCAGCAUUUUGCAAAAGUAAACAGGCCGCCAGACUGCGGUGUGAACUGGAAUCAAGGGAGAUCAGCGAGGAGGCUGACGCGGUCCUCGACGUAAGCGCUCGGACCCGAUGCCGUGGUGGUCGGGAUGGAGAAGAUGGGGAGAACUGUAGAAAUGUCGCGGAGGAAAAACGGGCGACGGACUGGGAGAGUUGAAAGGGAAGAGUCGGGGAGGGUGCCGGGGUUACAGGCCUCGGAGACGGGGAGUGAAGUUACGUUGCCAACUUUAAGGGGGCGGUUAGAUGGGGACGGUUUGGGAGGGAUGACGAGUUCGGUUUUGGACGGGUUGAACUCGAAGCCGGGGAAGCGCGAGAAUCCCGAGGAGGCGAAAGGUCGGGGCUGGUUAGAUAGAUCUGGGCGUCAACUGGCUCGGGGUGGCGUUGGAAGCCGGGGAAGCAGAUGAACCCGCCACGGGAGUAACGUUAAGCCGAGAAGCGGAUCCAGAACAGAGCCUUGCCGGGGACAUCUGGAGUUGAGUGGUGAGAGCUGGAGGGAGCGAUGGCGAGAGAGACCGAGAAGGAUCGGCCCGAGAGGUUCAAGAGAUCCUGGGUCAAACUGAAGAACGUUGGGAACAGCUAGGGAGCUUGAAGACCGGCAGGGUGCCAGGAAUUGUAGAAGAUAUGUGGAGUGGGCAGAAAUCUGAUGCAGAGAAGAUCCGGUAGACUGUAAGCUCGAUGAGGGCAGGGCUUGUUUCUACCAAUUCUGCUGCAUUGUAUUUUCCCCACCGCCUAAAACAGUGCUCUGCACACCAAAAGCGCUCAGUAAAUGCCAUUGGUUGGUCGAUUCAUCCGAUGCCUACCUCUGAAGGCCGACAUAGGACAGACUCCGUUACCAAGACCUGCCGGUUUCACCUCUACAGUAUCGCCAAGAUCCGCCCUCUCCUCUCCACCCAAACGGCUAC
Molecule: long non-coding RNA, 1107 nt
Organism: Ornithorhynchus anatinus (platypus)
Lineage: Eukaryota; Metazoa; Chordata; Mammalia; Monotremata; Ornithorhynchidae
Exons: 3
Source: RefSeq, a predicted model, not a curated record